Molecule: long non-coding RNA, 2419 nt
Filed under: Homo sapiens (human)
Lineage: Eukaryota; Metazoa; Chordata; Mammalia; Primates; Hominidae
Description: HSALNT0399507
Source: RNAcentral
UGACAAGAAAUAAUUGGCUUGUGAGAAUCAACAUUGAAGCUGGAAAAAUGAUGGCAUCCGAACAAGUAGACACAGCCCUAGUCAAGGCAAUAAACUACACUAAAGACAGAGGAGAAAGACUCAAAGUUGUUCUAACAUGGGUUCUCCAACUUCUGAAAUCCAUCCAGAAACUCCCUGUAUUUGGUUAUUCACAUCACUCCAGCUGACAGCCAACCAACAAACAGCCAGACACGUGAGCCCAACCAAGAUCAGAAGAACUGUCCCACUGAGCAUAGUCUAAAUUGCUAACAUGCAAAUGCAUGAAACAGACCACAGCAAGGUAAUCUUACAGCCCAGGACUCAGCUGCUGCAAUCUCUGUGAAAGGUACUUAUGACUAAUGCUGAUGCCACCAUGAAGCUCAGGAAACAAUUUACAGGGACAUGGGCUGUUCUGAGACCCCACAGCCAUGAAUCGCCUAAUCAUUCUGACAGAUUUCUGCAGAUGCUGUGCUCAGGUCACUGAGUUUCCCAGUUGUCAGUGGUGAACUGGAGCGGAGGCAGAAGGAAACUCUUCAGACACACUGUUCCCUUCAGGAAACAAGGGACAAAAGGGCUGCCCUGAGGAGACUUGGGAAAGUGACAUUUCCUCAGGCUCGAGGACAUCCCGAGGUUCUGCUCAUGAAACAGAGACAACCAUGUGUGGUGCCUGCAUUCUUGGCCUGCGGGGAGUGGAAAGGAGACAAAGAGUAAAACACGGUGGGAAAGAAGAAAAAGAGGUUAAGAAAAGCAAAUGUGCCUACUCCAGGUAAUUUUGACUUAGGGACCCUGAUUAACUUACACACUAAUUAAACCAUUUCCAGAUUUUGUGCAGUCUGAAAGCAGCCCAUUUUCCCCAACACCAGGUCGCUCAAGAUGACCACAGGAAGGUUGUCAUCUUCAUGUCUAAAAGCCAGUUGACACUCAAGGGUGUCAUUUCACUUCAGUGAAAUGAGAAGCUUCACAGAUGUGUAGACUCUGAAAAAUCUAACUGGAAAACAAUACAGGGAAAUAGCAAUACUAGGCAUCAAAGCAGCAAAAAAACUACUCAAUUAUCUGAUAUGGGGAUUAUCAAUGGAAUAAAUGUGGGGUUUGUUGUUUGUUGUUGGGAUUGUUGUGGGUUUUGUUUCAUUUUUUAGGGUCUCACUUUUCUCCACCAAUUAGAUCUGUGCUGUGAGCCACACAGGUUUUGAGUACAUGUUUUGGGACUUUAUAUCGGUCAGACUUUGCCAUGGUAACACUGUGUAACGAGCAGCCCCAAAAAUCUCAGUGGUGGUCAAAAGCAAACCUUUAUUUCUCAUUCAUGGGUUUUCAGUUUGUUCAGGCUAAAAGUAAAAUACACAGAUUCUUCACCUGUCUUUCAUUCCAUGCUGAAGGAGCAAUUGACUGCCUGGGACAUACUUUUCUCAUAACAGAGGCAAGGGUGAAAAACACCAAGUCAUCUUGAUUAUGCAAUCCCAUUUUUAAUGUAAACAAUGUCAUGUCUGCUUCUAUUUCAUUGAGCAAAGCAAGUCAUAUAGGCAAGCCCAACAUCAGUGGGGUGAUAAAGCACACUCUCCAAUGGAAGGAGGAGGGGAGCAUGAUCAUUUGCUGAACAGUAAUGCAAGAUAGCACAAGACUUGUCUGGGGUGAGAGAGAGAUCAAAGCUGUGGAUCCCACCCAGUCUUCAACCAAAGCAAUGUGGCUUUGACCUGUUUUCUGUCUUGGACUUGAAUAAUACUUUAUUUGAAAGAAGUGUUAAAUUGUUUAUUAAAAAAAAAGACAAGUUUGAAAACCACUGUUUCCAAGUCGCUUAUUUUGCCAAUAAAGAAUCUGGGGUCAAAGGGUAAAUGCCUUGCUGAUUGUAUCUGUCUCAGGACCAGGGCUAUGAGAUUUAAAGUCAACCAGAUCUGGAUUUUCAAACCUAGCUCUACCAUGUUUUAGCGGAGACACUCUGGACAUGUUCACUAUCCUUUCAUCAUCACAGGCAAGGGUCUGUCCAGUGCCCUAAGUCCUAGGGCUCUCCAGUUGCUAACCACACUGAAGGGAUGAAAUGUAUGAGUGGGCCCUCCACUGGUGUGAUCUGUAAUCAGAAUGGGAAAGACUCUCUUUGCUCCACCAUGUCCGUGGGAUGAGAUGGAAAAGUGCACCAUUCCUGGUGGUGAUGCUUCUAUUUAAAAUACUGCUAAACUGAGUUUCCUUCCUUGCUCUUCUCUCUCCCUUUCUUUGACAAACCUAUGCAUGACUCGAGUAUACAGCUAUCUCCCCUAGUGGAGCACAGGCUUUUUGGAGGAUAAGGGUCACUCUUUCCAUGUUUAUUUCUUCCCACGCCUACACCUCACACCUCAUUCCAACUCCACAGCACAAUAACCAUCCUAUCUUCACAGCAGCAGAGAUUAUGUAAAUGGUUAUAAAUUAAAUAAUA